This 759-nucleotide small RNA is filed under the name Pan troglodytes (chimpanzee). Its description in RNAcentral is "retained intron". The record is from RNAcentral. Lineage: Eukaryota; Metazoa; Chordata; Mammalia; Primates; Hominidae.
UGCACCACACAAAGCGCAUGCACCCUGGAGAGCUGUGGUUGUGUGUGUCUGAAAUUCACAUUUGACCGGGCGUAUUAGCUGGCUCUGGCCCUGAUUCCCUGGAAGGGCAUGCGCUGGUGGCCUUGGAAACUGCGUCUCACCCUGGCUGUCCCUUCACAGGCUGCACUCCCCGAAAGUGCGGCAGAGGUGUCACCGAUGUUGUCAUCACCAGGGAGGAAGCGGAGCGGAUUCGCAGCAUAGCUGAAAAGGGGCUCUCCCUGGGAGGAUCUGACGGAGGGGCAUCCAUUCUGGACUUGCACUCAGGGGCCCUGUCUGUCGGGAAGCACUUUGUGAACCUGUACAGAUACUUCGGGGAUAAAAUGCAGAACAUCUUCUCAGAGGAGGACUUCCGGUUAUACCGGGAGGUGCGGCAGAAGGUCCAGCUCACCAUUGCUGAGGCUUUCGGCAUCAGCGCGUCCUCGCUGCAUCUGACCAAGCCCACCUUCUUCUCCCGCAUAAACAGCACGGAAGCGCGGACGGCGCACGACGAGUACUGGCAUGCGCACGUGGACAAGGUGACCUACGGCUCCUUCGACUACACCUCGCUGCUGUACCUCUCCAACUACCUGGAGGACUUCGGCGGAGGGCGGUUCGUGUUCAUGGAGGAGGGUGCCAACAAGACGGUGGAGCCGAGAGCUGGUCGCGUCUCCUUCUUCACCUCGGGGUCCGAGAACCUACACCGCGUGGAAAAGGUCCACUGGGGCACCCGUUACGCCAUCA